GACGUAGGGCGCGAGCGUUGUCCGGAUUUAUUGGGCGUAAAGAGCUCGUAGGCGGCUUGUCGCGUCGUCCGUGAAAACUUGGGGCUCAACCCCAAGCUUGCGGUCGAUACGGGCAGGCUAGAGUUCGGUAGGGGAGACUGGAAUUCCUGGUGUAGCGGUGAACUGCGCAGAUAUCAGGAGGAACACCGGUGGCGAAGGCGGGUCUCUGGGCCGAUACUGCCGCUGAGGAGCGAAAGCGUGGGGAGCGAACAGG
This 253-nucleotide ribosomal RNA is filed under the name uncultured bacterium. RNAcentral describes it as "partial 16S ribosomal RNA". It matches the Rfam family "Bacterial small subunit ribosomal RNA", at positions 524 to 776 of the family's 1533-position model. The record is from RNAcentral.